RNAcentral lists this ribosomal RNA (270 nucleotides) under uncultured archaeon. RNAcentral describes it as "partial 16S ribosomal RNA". It matches the Rfam family "Archaeal small subunit ribosomal RNA", at positions 477 to 747 of the family's 1478-position model. The record is from RNAcentral.
CAGCACCUCAAGUGGUCAGGAUGAUUAUUGGGCCUAAAGCAUCCGUAGCCGGCCCUGUAAAUUUUCGGUUAAAUCUGUACGCUCAACGUACAGGCUGCCGGGAAUACUGCAGAGCUAGGGAGUGGGAGAGGUAGACGGUACUCGGUAGGAAGGGGUAAAAUCCUUUGAUCUAUUGAUGACCACCUGUGGCGAAGGCGGUCUACCAGAACACGUCCGACGGUGAGGGAUGAAAGCUGGGGGAGCAAACCGGAUUAGAUACCCGAGUAGUCC